Molecule: small nuclear RNA, 107 nt
Filed under: Rhinopithecus roxellana (golden snub-nosed monkey)
Lineage: Eukaryota; Metazoa; Chordata; Mammalia; Primates; Cercopithecidae
Source: RNAcentral
GUGCUCACUUCAGCAGCACAUGUGCUAAAAUUGGAACGAUACAGAGAAGAUUAGCAUGGUCCCUGAGCAAGGAUGACACGCACAUUUGUGAACUGUUCCAUAAAAUA